CUAGGGGGGUCCCUUGCCUCUCCUUAUAUAGUCCGGAGGGUAGGGUUACAGAUCUGGAAACUAAUCCUAGUCGGUUACAAUUGCCAUAGAUAGUUCGAUAUCAAUUCCUAUUCUAACCGACUAGAAUCCUGCUUGAUCUCCACGCCUUGUUUCCUUGCACGAAACUCUAAGCUGUCGGAUCAAACCUUGAGCUUGUCUCGUAAUGGGCCAAACCUCCUGGCCCAAGUCUAGCCGUAAGGGUAUAGGGUUCUAUACCCCCACAACUUCUGUGCGGUCACUACGUGGUGUCGUGGAAGAGCUUAAAGGCGAACUAGCUAACAUCCGCCUGAAAUAUAUAGAGCUUAAGGACGACUUAGCCGCUGUACAAUUCGGUCUAACCAACCGGCUUGGCAAGGUGGCUCGGGCUGUGGGUGUAGAGCAUGUUCUAGACACAAAUCGCAUCUAGUUUAAUUUUGCUUAGCCGACUAAUUUAUUUUCCCUUUUAUUCAGAUUUCCUUCAUUUACUUUGUAAUCAAUGUCUCGGCUUAUAUUGAAUAAUAAAGAAGUCCUUUGUUCGAAUUAUUUUGUCUCCACUUGUUUUUGUAUUAUUUUUGUCUACUUGAGAAAAAUCAAAGAACAGGUAAAAAAACAAGUGUGGGGGAGGAAUCGCCAUUAAGGUAAUCUUACAUAAAAAAAAUUUUCAGAAUUAUUUUUAUUCCUCCUAUGACAAUUUAAAUCUGAUUUAUAUGAUAAAAAUAUUGCUAAUAAAAUAAAAAGAUAAAAAAAUAAAUGAAUACUCCAUUUCCUUUGAAAUUAAACAUGCAUACUCUUUAUUCCUCGCCAAAAGCCUACCAUUUAUGAGCAACUUUUUAUAAGGAUCCCAUUGCUUCUAAGUAAUUGAGAUUUGCGAUAUAGUAGGAUGAUUUGAAACUUGCUCACUUAUGCAAUUAACUUGGGGAUUUAUUUGAUAAAAUUAAAAUUGCAAAAAGUCUGCUCUUCAAUGAUAGAUAAUUACCUACCAAGGCCAAAUAUAUUACUCUUGAUAAAAAUUCUACAAAUAGCUGCUUAUUUGUUUUGAGUUGUGUCAAGUCUUGUUGACCCUUGUUAAGAGAUUUAUCAUGCUCUCAAGAUCAAGAUCACGUACACUCCAGAUACAUAUAUAUGCCGCUUCUACACUAGGAGUGCGCAAAAACAUGCCUUACAUGUCCACCAUACAAACACUCCAUGUUUUAAAGAAUGAUCUCACUAGGGCAUCUUAGAUAAAGACAUGGGCUAUGCAAAAAUAUAUAUAUAUAAAAAAGAGAAGAAAAAAAAAUGGGCAAGUGCCCGCCGUAGAAUUAGGGGUAUAAAAAUACCCACCUGAAAAAAAUAUAGGACACAUGAAGGUCCUAAGUAUACAAAAAAAAGAUGAGCACAUGAAGGCUCACAAAAAAAUAAAAGAGUUAUGAUAGCCAUGUCUAGAAAUACUUGAUGAGAUCAUAUCAACCAACGGAGUUGUUUAUACCAUAUACCACACACUUGCACAUCUUGAUCUAAGGGUAUGACACUUCUCUUCUUGGAUCCGAGAUUUGACUCGACAAUACAUAUAAGGUAAGUAUGCAUUCUACUUGGUCCAUACCCAAAACUCUAAAUACAGCUUAUAGAGGUAGGACGAAUCAAGAGGUACUUUUACCUUGGUAAGGAACCAGAAACAUUCUCGAGUGAUUUGAGAGUAUCAUCUGAAGAGCAAGACUAUUUUUUUCAAAAAGGUAAAAACCUAAGCUUUGAGCAAAGUUGAGUAAGAAGAUUUGAAUCCUAACUGUUCCAUUUUUCAAUUACUCAAGAUGUUUUGGUAGGCACUCUGAAUGCUCAUAAGUUCAGGUGAGGCUUGGAAUAGUUUGUAUGCAGGUUCAUUAUCAGGAGAAGUGGAACCAUCUUAGCCCAAAAGCAUAAGCUUUACUCGAGGACGAGCAAAGGGCUAAGUGUGGGGGAGUUUGUUGGCGUUUCUUAAAAUACACUUUUCAUACCGCCAACAUGCAUACAAACUCUAUAAAAUAUCACCAAACAUUAGAAAUAGGGUUUUUUAUGCUAACCAAAUUCCACAGUUUUGGUGAACACAUGUGUAUGCAGGACACUAGGGUUUGAGCCGCCAAAAUCAAAGAAUUGAAGGCACAUUUAAUUCAAAUAUAGAAGUGCAUCGAAAUGCAAUUGGAUUCAAACUUAGAAGGCCGAGGAGCAUCGUCUGGGCUUUGGGCCUGGGCCAACAGAUCCAGCCAGGGGGCAGCCGCCCCCUAGGGUCGGCCGACCCCGGCCUGGCCCAGCUCCCCACCGCCUUUUGCAGAGGCGGUGCAUGCGAAGCCCUAGCGCGGUUCCCGGCUGCAUUUUGCAGUUUACCCCCUCCCAAACCGACCUUCCACACCUAUAUAAGGAAGGGGAGAGGGCCUCUCAUUGAUCAUGAUUCAAUCCAUUCAAGCUUCAAGUCCACAAGAAUAAAGAGAGAUACAAGAGUAGUAGUAGAGAGGCGGAGCUUCCACUCAUAUCCUUAGACUCUAGUUAGGAAUAGAAUAGGAGAGUGAGUUAGAGUGUAGAGUAAGAGAAGUAGCAAGCACCCGGUCCGUUCCCCU
This 2582-nucleotide long non-coding RNA is filed under the name Sorghum bicolor (sorghum). RNAcentral's name for it is "long non-coding RNA (SBIC_LNC007015)". The record is from RNAcentral. Lineage: Eukaryota; Viridiplantae; Streptophyta; Magnoliopsida; Poales; Poaceae.